Molecule: microRNA precursor, 74 nt
Filed under: Marmota monax (woodchuck)
Lineage: Eukaryota; Metazoa; Chordata; Mammalia; Rodentia; Sciuridae
Source: RNAcentral
UGUGUGUGUGUGUGUGUGUGUGUUUGUGUGUGUGUGUGCGUGCGCACGCACACACACACCCACAUGCUCAUUCA